GUUUCUAUUUAGUCUAGCACGCACAAGUCGGAGAGUCGUCUAUAUAAGCAACAAAGUAAAUCACUAAAGAAUACAUUUAUGAAGUUAGACAUUAGUAUUUAGGCCUGUUCAACAUUAAUUCUUCAAUAGCAAACUAUGCAGUAUUUUUUUUUUAUUUUUUUUUAGGUAUUAUUCUUACAUUGUUACCCCAGGAAAUCUUAAGUCUUAUACAUACAGCCGGGAAGAACUAUUGGAUAUAAGAGCGACGUCAACUUACCAACAUUGCGACCAGGAAUACGAUUUUCCCGAAGCGGAUCCUCUGUUUGGACCACCACUCAGGACAAUGGAUCUAAUCCCAGAAGCUGACCCAAGACAACGGCGCUGCAGAAGGGGCAGACGGAGCGGCCUCCUGGUCAGGCUCCGUAGAUGUGCACAUCGCCCACCGCUCCCGAGUAUACUACUCACCAAUGUCCAGUCUCAUGACAACAAGUCCUCUCUCCUCCUUUCAUCCCUCC
Molecule: long non-coding RNA, 494 nt
Filed under: Salmo salar (Atlantic salmon)
Lineage: Eukaryota; Metazoa; Chordata; Actinopteri; Salmoniformes; Salmonidae
Description: lncRNA (ENSSSAG00000100956.1)
Source: RNAcentral